Molecule: long non-coding RNA, 5675 nt
Filed under: Gallus gallus (chicken)
Lineage: Eukaryota; Metazoa; Chordata; Aves; Galliformes; Phasianidae
Source: RNAcentral
UUCUUUACUCAUUUAACAGAAGCACAACUUGCUAGACAGCAACCAUGACAGUCAGAAAUACAAAUUGAAUCAUAUUUCCACUAAUAACCUUCCAAAAAUGAUCCUUUGCAGCUCUACAUGCAACUAAAGAAGUUGAGAUAACACAGUGAGUACUGUUUCUUAUGCUAUCCAGGCUAGUGGGGGAAAGCACUCAUUUGCUGCAUAAAACAAGGCACACCUUCUCCAGCAGAUACAAAGCUGAUGUGCAUAUACUUUCCAAAUAAAGAUGGGCAUUUCUACAGUCCUGCCUCCAGGGAGAGCUGGGAUCAAACCGAGCACACCCAAACCACACCGGAGAACGAUCAAUGAGAGGCCAGCACCAUUUUGGCGGCGAUGUUCCUAUUUCGGAUUCUCUCAAAACUUCCAUCUCAAAAAGUAACUUUAUUCAGAAGCACGAUGACUGCAUUCAGACCGAUGCAAACAGUAAGCUUUCUGUCGGAGCUUCCCUUCGGUGAGCACGGAGGACUGCUGCUGCGCACCCGCACGGCCACGGGAGCGCACCCGCACGGCUUGCACGCGGCGGGCGAGGGCGGGGCCAAGGGCGAGGGAGGACCCUUCCUAUAAAGCAGCUCUCACGAAGCGCUCUUGGCGUCGGUUGUGCUCCCCGCGGACCCUACAAGCAAGCUGCACGGGACCCGGCAGCAGCACAGCACAGCACAGCACACCGACCCGCCGGAGCGGGGCUGCGCGGACCGACACGGCACAGGAAGCUCCCUAGGAAAGCGGAAGGGCUCAGCAGGGUCGGGCCGCGGAGCGCUGCUGGGAGGAAGAUAAUUCCUCAUGCCUUUACCUUUCCUGGAGCCCUCGCUGCUGCCGGCUGGGGCCUCCCCGGGCUCUGGGGCACCGGCGAAAGCCGGGAACAAGGCCAUGUCCCAGCCCGUCGCCAGUAGUAGCUGCCCGAAGUGCCCCGCGGAGCGGCGGAGCAAGACGGCGCUGCGGGUGUCCUGCAUUCUCCGAACUUCUGAUGGGACUGCCGUUCAGACUUUAGGGAAGAGUAGGGGAUGAGGCUUCCACAGCCAGAAGCAGUCUUUCCUUCCCCACCGCCCCAUUUUCCCUCAUGCAGCACGCUGGGAGCAAACACUGCAGGUCUGCCUGGCCAGAGAGUAUCCCAAAUGGCGGUAGCAGUGGCUUAGGGGAAAAGUAACUAUUCCCACGUUCAGCAUUUAUACGUUUUCUAACCGGAGGAGAUGCUCAUCAUAUUAAAUAGCAUCAGUGAGCAAGCCUCCAUAAACGAGGAACAAACACUUUAUUCCUUUGGUCUCUUGGGCAGAAUUUUUAAUUAUGAACUGUGUGCACUGUGAGGAAAAAAUGCAAGCAUCCCUAUUUAUUUCUCCACACAAUUGUACACACCAUUAAGAUACUUCUCUUCAGUAUUUUAUCUUCUGGAUAAAUGGCUCUGCUUUUUUUUUUUUCUUUUUUUUUUCUUUUUUUUCUCCUCCUCUCUCUCUUUGCUUACCAAAGCCACUCCAUACUGUUGUCCUUCUUGGAUUCUUCUGGUGUAUCUCUAGUUUCUCUAGCUGCUGCUCUAGUCCUGCUGCACAGCCAGAAUUUCACGUAGUAACUAAGCUCUAGGCAUACAGAAGAUGCACUUAUUACAUGAAAUUACAACGACCUGUUUGGUCUCCAUUGCUUUCCCAAUGCCUUUUGGUGAUUGUUUCUUUUUUUGCCUCCCCUGAGCUACAGUAUCUCUUAGGAGCUUAAUCCUGAGUGCGAAAGGUACUCGGUAUCUAUUGCGUAGCACCAUUAGGAUUACUUUCCUGUAUACAGUACUUGGCACUUACCCGCUAUUCUUUAACUGUUACUUUAUACUUCAAUCGUGAAAUACUUCAGUAACCUCUCCCAGUACAAUCGGCAGACUUUGCCAGCUUUAUCUUCACUGCCUUUUGCAGCCUUUUGUAAAUGUUGAAGGGUCAGAUCCCAGGGAAUUCUGCGGGUGACUUACUCCUUUUGAAAACUAUAAAACUGUUUCUUAAUACUUGUUUCUGACCUUUAAUUUACUGUUACUCUAUAAAGUAUUAUUCAUAUUUCUUUUAACAACACGAGAGAAGAAUGUGAGGCAGUGGGAGAACGGGAUUCAGAACAAAACAGUAGUCAUCAUCACUGGUAGUCUGGAAGUCAUCAAAUGUGUGUGGUUAAGAGGAGCAGGGCCUGACUGCCAGCUUAGUAUGAAAAGACGUUAAAAUUUACUCUCACAUGCUGAUGUUGAGCAGUGCAUUUGUUCAAGUGUGUGAACACCUGUCACAUUUUGAAGUAAAACAUCAGAAUGUGAAAAAUGUCGUGUGUAAUAUAUAGAAAUAUAGAUCUACCUGAAACUGAUACAGAAAACAGGAAGAAUAAUCUCAAAUAAUCACAUUGCCAAUUUGUGACCAAAUUGGGAAAAGAAAAAAAAAAAAAAAGCCUAUGUAAUUACACUACUUGAACAAGCACUUGUCCCUCUGUCUGCCUGGUAUAAUUUCUCCAGGUAUUUUUAGAACUCAUGACCAAUUUCAACCAAAUUUAAAUGGAGGUUACAGGUUAUUACAUUACUGCAAAUUACACAAAAACAGGUGGCAAUUUAGAGCAGGAUAUUCAGUGGGAGGAAAACUCCAGUGCGUGUGCAGUUCUUAUUGGGAGUAAAAACUACUGAGAAAGUUCAUUCAGAACAUUCCUUCUCAUGGAAAUGUUUGUUAUAAUCUUAUUCAUGUAAACAUGAAUUCUGCAAAUCUCAAUACAAGGAAAACUGCCACUUACCUAUAGAAAAUAAAUUACUUCCUGGUUUUCUUAAGGAAAAUAUUCAAAGCCCAUUCAGUUUUCUCUUACUUUCUCCACACUUUCUACUUUGUCUGUAGUAAACCCUAUAGUUAGUUCUUGUUACACUGUGAUGACUGAGGAGCCCCUAUAAGGAUUAGGUUAAUCUCGCUACACAAUAAAAGAUCAAGUUUACAAAGAAGGGUUUGUUCUCAUAUGCAAAAGCUUAAAGAAGGAGCCUUGAAGUACAGCACUAAAAACAGUGUAAUUUAAAGCCUAUACAGUGGGCAUUUUGAACAAAAGCAUUAGAGGUAAAGGCAACCAUUUGAAAUUUUCUAGAGAUCACAUUAGGGACGACCCAAAAUGAAUUCCAGCCCCACAGCAAGAAGGCUAAUUGGAUGUAUGUACAUAGACUCUCUUUGCCUCCCCUGAGUGACUGCUGCAGGAUAGGUUAGCAGCUUCCAGCUCUGCGCUUCAAGAGCCUUCCCAAACCUUAUUUAUUCAUUACCGAGUUCUGCUAGCAUUGUGUGGUCAUGCAUUUCUAUCAUUUUAAUGAUGCUUUUGCAGCUUACUCCAGGAAGAAAAUGUGUGUUUUUAAUACAACACUUAUACAGCGUUUCAACAGUGAGAGAAACUGGGCAAAUGUAAAAGGGUGUUAUAAUUGCAUCUCCCAGCAGGAUACCUAUGCAACACAGUGAGGUUUCUAAUUACACGCUUUCCUUUUCUGAUGGUGUGCCAAAUUUCCAACCUUUCUCUACAUUUUCCCAGUCCAUUCUCAGGUUUCUUUUAGCAAUAAAUCCUUUUGUCUAUGCCAAUGCUAUUGAGAUGUAUUGAGAUCUACCGCCUAAAUUUACCAAGGGCUAAUUUUUUUUAUUGAGACCCACUCAGCAGGAAGGCAUGUGACAGCUCUGUUCCAGCUCCACCAGAUGCUGUGCACUGCCACCAGGAUGUGACCCCAGCGCUGUCCCAUGGUGGGUCUUACCAGUAGAACAACAUUGAAAAGAUCAUCUCCUACAGGAGCAUGAUGUGUUUGGGACUUGAAUUAUGUCCUGAUAAGGUCCCUGAAACUAUUUUCUUUCCUUAGGAAGUGCUCUCGUUCUGCUUUUCUUAUGAUACGUUAUAAUUAGCAUCUUAUCAGAUGCUUGCUAGGUAGAUCAGCUGUUACACAUAUGUCUGUGAUCAUUGGUUCAGUUCAAAUAUAAAUUCUGAUUCUAUGCUUUAAAACCCUAAAGGAGAGUUUUGCACUUGAUUAUUUGAGGCUCUGCUGGCCGUGAACUCUCAACUAAAGCCAUGGUCAGACUGAGCCUGUUUGUAUGUAUGAAAUAUGAUCGGUAACAUAAAACAGAAACAGUAACCAAAUUAAUACGAAAAACUUUCAUUUCAGAGUGAUAUUCUACACAUGCCUAUUAGGUUUUCAGGCAUAAAUGUCAGACAUCAAAUAUUUUUACUUCUGUUGGUAGCGCAAUAUAUGAAUAUGAAUCUUUACUUCUAAAUAAGUUACAAAGAAUGAUCUUGAUAUCAUUCCCUCUACAUUUACUGAGAAUUUUGUUGUGAACAAAAUUAUGCCCAGAAGGAGGCAUUUUUCAGGAAUAAGCAGAACAUUCUGUUUGCCAGAAAAGCCCAUAAGCAUUUUAUACAAGCUUUAUCGGGGUGAAGACUGGAGGACUAGGUUAAAUUUUAAUAAGUUCUGAGCAGACAUAAAACUAUGCCAUUUUAUCCUCUUUCAUUUGUAAAGAAAUAAAGGAAGUUUAUUCCUAUAAAUAAAUAUAUAAAUAGUCCCUUAUUUUUGGCCUAUUUAUCUAUCUUGUCCAUAGAGGCCCACUAUCAUCUUUUUAAAACAACAGAGGAAUAGAUCUUAUCUUCCUGUAAGAAUAAUGUAUUUCAGAUUCUUCUUCUGCCCUCAAAUCAAAACAAAUGUCACAUGUACUUUGACAGAUAACAUCCAACUUAUUGCAGAAUUUUGAGGUAGCUUUGUGGCUUUCAUAGAUGAUGCUUCAAGUUAUUGUAGUAUUCUGUGGUUUUUUGUUUUGUUUUUGGUGUCCUAGUAUUACAGGAUCGGCUAUUUUAAUUUGAUGGAGAGGUAACACCCAUGAUGGACGUUUCAAAUGCAGGCUGUGAAACAAUUAGAAUGUCUAAAGAAUCGGUAUUUAAAGAAUAAAUAAGCUACACUAUCUAUAUGAAGGGAUUUGUCAUGUUCUAUUACCCAUUCUUUUGGAAACAGCAGCUCUUCUAGAUUGUCCCUGUUUCAUGAUUUCUUAGGGAAAAUACCUGCCUACUUGUCAUUAGUCUGGCUCCCUCCCCACCCUCCAACAAAAUUCAUCAAACCAUUUAUCCCCACUCUCAAACUUUGUGAACAUAAGUGUGAAAUACCUAAGUCUAAUUCAGAGUUCAGCUCCUGCAAAACCCUUACCAUACAACUCUGUUCAAGAAUUGUAUUUUGAAACGUUGUUUUUUUCCUUCUCUUAACUCCUGUUGCAGGACAGUUCCAGGACCUUGAUUUUCUGAUGCUUAGACACAUCUCUGCUCAUAUCCAUCUGCUUCUGGGCCAGCAUUGUGCUAUGACUUCAAAUAACACUUCCUUCACCAGGGAACUAACUAAUCUGUGCAUGGACGCUAACCAGAUACCACACAGUCUUUCUUCCAAUAAGUAUUUUGAAAAUCUAUCCUUGUAAGAAUGGUUGUUCAGUUCACUUUUUGUGUUUUUUGCAUACUGUGACAGAUUACUACCCGGGUGCUUUUCCGAUCACUUCCUCUGGAUCAAUUAUUGUACAAGAAAAUCUUGUUAUUAAUCUCUAAGGAUAUAGCCUUGUAUUUUGAAUUAAAUUUCAUUUCACUUCUAUUAUUCCAGCCUGCUAGGUCACCUGUUUUAUAGGAAUGAUGGUCUUGUUAUGGCUCUUUGUGAGAAAGGC